RNAcentral lists this ribosomal RNA (497 nucleotides) under uncultured bacterium. RNAcentral's name for it is "partial 16S ribosomal RNA". It matches the Rfam family "Bacterial small subunit ribosomal RNA", at positions 28 to 507 of the family's 1533-position model. The record is from RNAcentral.
GAUGAACGCUGGCGGCGUGCCUAAUACAUGCAAGUCGAGCGAACGGACGAGAAGCUUGCUUCUCUGAUGUUAGCGGCGGACGGGUGAGUAACACGUGGAUAACCUACCUAUAAGACUGGGAUAACUUCGGGAAACCGGAGCUAAUACCGGAUAAUAUUUUGAACCGCAUGGUUCAAAAGUGAAAGACGGUCUUGCUGUCACUUAUAGAUGGAUCCGCGCUGCAUUAGCUAGUUGGUAAGGUAACGGCUUACCAAGGCAACGAUGCAUAGCCGACCUGAGAGGGUGAUCGGCCACACUGGAACUGAGACACGGUCCAGACUCCUACGGGAGGCAGCAGUAGGGAAUCUUCCGCAAUGGGCGAAAGCCUGACGGAGCAACGCCGCGUGAGUGAUGAAGGUCUUCGGAUCGUAAAACUCUGUUAUUAGGGAAGAACAUAUGUGUAAGUAACUGUGCACAUCUUGACGCUACCUAAUCAGAAAGCCACGGCUAACUACGUG